AGUCAACUAGGGACUUGAGGGUAUAAUUUUUCUUUUUUCUUUUGAGAAAGAUUUGAAAAAAAAUUCCUGAUUUUUGAUUUUUCAUCUUUUUCACCCUCUUCUCUUUUUUCUUUUUCUUUUUUUUUUCUUUUUUUUUUUUUUGAUUGCAUUUGCAAUGCCCCAGUUUGACUGUUUAGCUGAUUCUCAUGAUACAGCUGAAUGAGCUCCUUUUGUGCUCAAGAAGGCGGGUAAUCUCGUCAGGAAUCCCCUUCAACAUCAUCUUCCUCUACUUCGAAUACAAAGAAUUCAAGAUUGGGAGAUGGCGUUGGAUCAUUAUGUUCAAUGGGUUUAGAAAUCCCUGCAUAAUGAUUCUGGAUAAUGAAAAGCUUUUGUAUUUAAACAAGCAAAUCAGUUAUGCAGAUGAAAAGAUUGUUUUCUUGUUUUUCAGGUUUU
This 432-nucleotide long non-coding RNA is filed under the name Lathyrus oleraceus (garden pea). RNAcentral's name for it is "Pisum sativum (pea) long non-coding RNA (PSAT_LNC040693)". Lineage: Eukaryota; Viridiplantae; Streptophyta; Magnoliopsida; Fabales; Fabaceae. The record is from RNAcentral.